Athene cunicularia (burrowing owl) is the source of this 2355-nucleotide long non-coding RNA. RefSeq lists it as uncharacterized. The record is from RefSeq and is a predicted model, not a curated record. The transcript is spliced from 3 exons. Lineage: Eukaryota; Metazoa; Chordata; Aves; Strigiformes; Strigidae.
CAGUCAUGUAGGCUUAGAUUUCACUGGGACUUUCCAGCAUAAUUUUGCCAGAGUACAGCUGACAUCCACACUUAUCCAAACGAUGGAAAAGUUUUUUGGUCCUUGACAGCUAGCCAUACUAUAUCAGAGGGAAUACAGAGAAUGGUACUUUUCCAGUACUUUCCUAUCUAUCACACAGUAAGUGGAAAGGUUGAACAGCCCCCACUUCUGACACUUGUACAUCAGGCAACAUGAAUGAAGGUCUGAAUGAUUUUAAAGAAAACAUGCUUAUUUGCACUCAGAACCUGUCUUACUCCAAGAAGAUACAGUCUCAGAGCUCUGUGGGUGAAUUAGGCUUUUUGUUCAACUCUGUAUUUAAAAAAAGCCCCCAACCCUAAGACUCAGUCUUACCCUCUGCCCCAGGGCUGCCCUGGUUCUGUGCCUGGCAGGCUGGCUUUGCUCUGAAGCACACCAGCUCUCCGUACCUUGUAUAUUUUAAUGCCGACACUGAUCUUCAAUCAGCAUUGCCCUGGCCUUCCAGUGAAAAUAUGCCAGAAUGUCACAGGUUUCCAAAUGAAAUGCAAAUACUGAACUUUCUGAAAUUUACUGAUAGUAUUUUACUCCUUUACUGCAUCUGAGUGGUAUCAAGACACAACAGAAACAAGGGUUUAAGAUUCCUGACCGCAAAGGUAAAGCUCUUUGCACUUGCCACUCCACAGAUGUCUCAGCUGGAUGGUCUGUAACACAUCCCGAGAAGAAUAUGAGUCCUCUGCUCACUCGCUCACUCAGCAUAAUGAGAAGAAAUGAUGAAAUACUCAAAGUCAGAGCCAUUCUCAUUGUGUAACUCUGCUGCAGUACAUUUGUUACCUAUGCACAGAUCCAAGAAUAAAUUUUGGCCCUGACCAUGGAAUAUUCACUCACUUUCAAAUACGGAUGUGACCUGCUUUCUCCUUCUGUGACUAACAGGGUGACCAGAGGCAGUGGAAUGUACACUAGGAUUGGAAAGAAUAAAACCAGAGGGAAAGCAAGCUGUCAAGAGAACAGUGUACCAAAGAGGAAAAAUGUAAACAUGACUUCUAUUUACCAAGAUUAAUAUGUAAAGUUAGCAUGUUUGUCAUGGAAUAUAUUAAUAUGUAUGUUUUCCCAUUAAGUAGAUAUUUUCUUAUAUUACUUAUUAGAAAGGGAUAUAAUCAUAAUGAUGGGGCAAGAAUGCCACUUCAAAAUUAGGUGAUGCCCAGUCAACAUAAUAUAACCACUCCAGUGUCAUUUCUGAUUUAGAUGUGGUGAUGUCAGUGUAAUUGCUGCUGGGAAGAAAUUAUAAUGGCUGUUAAUGAUAAAUAAAAUGACAAGAAGGAGGAUCUUCCUUCACAUAUCAUUCCAAGCAAAAUUUAACUGCUGACUUCCUUAAGCACUCAGUGCCAUUCAUUGAUGAAGAGGAAAUAAGCAGGUUUUGUGUAGCUGCAUGGCCAUUAAGAGCUGCACUGUCAUUUCCCAAGCCCAAGUAUAGACACUACAGGUCUAACAAGAUUUUACCACACUAUUUCCACUCAGGAAAGAUGUAGUAUGAAGCUCACAUGAAGUGAAUCUUAACACAAAGUUAACAUUAUUCUAACAGAAAGCACUGUAGCAAGCAAACACAAAAAUAAGCAAAAAUAGGGUAAAGGCAAACAUACAAUCAUGCAUGUGGAUACUUUUCAAAGCCCCCAAAUACUCCAGUCUUGUCUCCAUAAACACAGGCAGCCUUAACCCACGGAUCAAAAGACCUUCCUACAUUUGUUUUAUAUCAUAAAUGUGUCAAGAAUGAGCUACAUGAAGCAUUAUUCACCCACUACACAUGGCUUGUUAGCCUACUUGAGAGCAUCUUUCAACUCAUUCACACAUUAAAAGCCAGGAAACCAACAUUUGAUUACUAGUUCUAGCAUUAAGAUCAAAGACCACAUCUUCCCAUCUGUGAAGAGCAAGAGCCCAAUUCUUUUCUCCUUACUCUGCAAUUACAGAAGAAUCAAAACUCAACAUUAUACUCCACAUCCUAUGAGUAACAGAGCUCCAGUCUGUAAAAGCACAAAACACCCAGUAUAAUGUACAUACAUACAUUUUUUCCUAGGCCUCUUGGAAAGAAGGUAAGUAUAAGCAAAUCUGUAGUCACAUCUUCACAAUACUUGCAGUCUGCAGCUAUCCAAAACUCAGACACUGCUUGAUCCACAGGUGUUAUCUUAGUGUAUAAAAUUACAGCACCUCUUAAGAGGGAAAAUAGUACAUACCUGCCAUUUACUCUGCUGUUUACUCUGCCGUUUACAUUGGUGGUGUAAGGGUUAUAUAUUAAAACAGUGUGUUAAAUUAAAAACCACAAAAAAGAUACAGGCAGUGUUGGUUGAC